GACGAACGCUGGCGGCGUGCUUAACACAUGCAAGUCGAACGAUGAAGCUAGAGCUUGCUCUGGUGAAUUAGUGGCGAACGGGUGAGUAACACGUGAGUAACCUGCCCCGAACUCUGGGAUAACUGCUGGAAACGGUAGCUAAUACUGGAUACGACCUACGAAGGCAUCUUCUGGUAAGGUGGAAAGAAUUUCGGUUCGGGAUGGACUCGCGGCCUAUCAGCUUGUUGGUGAGGUAAUGGCUCACCAAGGCGACGACGGGUAGCCGGCCUGAGAGGGUGACCGGCCACACUGGGACUGAGACACGGCCCAGACUCCUACGGGAGGCAGCAGUGGGGAAUAUUGCACAAAUGGGCGCAAGCCUGAUGCAGCAACGCCGCGUGAGGGAUGACGGCCUGGU
Molecule: ribosomal RNA, 397 nt
Filed under: uncultured bacterium
Lineage: Bacteria
Description: bacterial SSU rRNA
Rfam family: Bacterial small subunit ribosomal RNA
Source: RNAcentral